CAGCAGGCCAAGUCAUGCCUCAGCAGAACUCUCAUUAGACAAACCCGUCGAUCACGGAGUGGAAUGCCCUGCUACCUGAGUUUUUAUCUCCCAUCAUCUCUCACCGUGGGAGUGGUGAGAGAGAGGUAAGAAGUCCAGCCACGACCGAGACACGCCUGUCUGCCUCGAUGGCAACCGUCGAGAAGUUGUGCACAUCCGUAUUGGCUCCUCCUGAUAAUGAUUCCACCUUGUAGCUCUGGGUCUUCCUGUUCUCACCCCUCUGAAUUAAUAUGUUGUGCAAAGGAGGCCU
This is a long non-coding RNA of Pelmatolapia mariae (spotted tilapia), 289 nucleotides long. RefSeq lists it as uncharacterized. The transcript has 3 exons. NCBI's taxonomy places the organism in Eukaryota, Metazoa, Chordata, Actinopteri, Cichliformes, Cichlidae. The record is from RefSeq and is a predicted model, not a curated record.